RNAcentral lists this transfer RNA (60 nucleotides) under human gut metagenome. It matches the Rfam family "tRNA", at positions 8 to 61 of the family's 71-position model. Rfam says of the family: Transfer RNA (tRNA) molecules are approximately 80 nucleotides in length. Their secondary structure includes four short double-helical elements and three loops (D, anti-codon, and T loops). The record is from RNAcentral. RNAcentral also lists the same sequence under 2 other names.
GUAUUAGCUCAGUUGGCAGAGCAUUUGACUUUUAAUCAAAGGGUCUGGGGUUCGAAUCCC